UACGAAGGGGGCUAGCGUUGCUCGGAAUCACUGGGCGUAAAGGGUGCGUAGGCGGGUCUUUAAGUCAGGGGUGAAAUCCUGGAGCUCAACUCCAGAACUGCCUUUGAUACUGAAGAUCUUGAGUUCGGGAGAGGUGAGUGGAACUGCGAGUGUAGAGGUGAAAUUCGUAGAUAUUCGGAAGAACACCAGUGGCGAAGGCGGCUCACUGGCCCGGUACUGACGCUUAAGAGCGAAAGCGUGGGGAGCAAACAGG
This 253-nucleotide ribosomal RNA is filed under the name uncultured bacterium. Its description in RNAcentral is "partial 16S ribosomal RNA". It matches the Rfam family "Bacterial small subunit ribosomal RNA", at positions 524 to 776 of the family's 1533-position model. The record is from RNAcentral.